Molecule: small RNA, 17 nt
Filed under: Arabidopsis thaliana (thale cress)
Lineage: Eukaryota; Viridiplantae; Streptophyta; Magnoliopsida; Brassicales; Brassicaceae
Description: ATSL079930
Source: RNAcentral
AAACAAAAAACUAAAAA